This 886-nucleotide ribosomal RNA is filed under the name uncultured archaeon. Its description in RNAcentral is "bacterial SSU rRNA". It matches the Rfam family "Archaeal small subunit ribosomal RNA", at positions 459 to 1344 of the family's 1478-position model. The record is from RNAcentral.
CAGCAGCCGCGGUAAUACCAGCGCCACAAGUGGCAGUCACGAUUAUUGGGCCUAAAGCGUCCGUAGCCGGACGUGCACCUCCUUUGUGAAAUCACACGGCUUAACCGUGUGGCGUGCAGAGGACACGACACGUCUUGGGAGUGGGAGGAGUCAGAGGUAUUCGAAAAAAACCGGUAAAAUGGUAUAAUCCCUUGAGGACCGCCGAUGGCGAAGGCAUCUGACCAGAACACGUCCGACGGUGAGGGACGAAAGCCAGGGGAGCGAACCGGAUUAGAUACCCGAGUAGUCCUGGCCGUAAACGCUGCGAGCUAGGCGUUGCACUACCUCUGUGGUUGUGCAGUGUCGAAGCGAAGGCGAUAAGCUCGCCGCCUGGGGAGUACGGUCGCAAGGCUGAAACUUAAAGGAAUUGGCGGGGGCGCACCACAAGGGGUGCGGCGUGCGGUUUAAUCGAAUUCAACACCGAGAAUCUCACUAGGGGCGACGGCAGGAUGAUGGUCCGCCUGAAGGGCGUACCGGACGAGCCGAGAGGUAGUGCAUGGCCGCCGCCAGCUCGUGUCGUAAGAUGUCCAGCUAAGCCUGGUAACGAGCGAGACCUGUAUCACUACUUGCAAACGGCUGAUUUCUCAGGACCGUGCACAGUAGUGAGACUGCCUUGGUAACAAGGAGGAAGGCGCAGGCUACGGUAGGUCUGUAUGCUCCGAAUCUCCUAGGUUACACGCGCGCAACAAUGGUUGGGACAAUGGGCUGCAACACCGAAAGGUGAAGCUAAUCCUCGAAACCCAAUCCAAGUCCAGAUCGAGGUUUGUAACUCAGCCUCGUGACGUCGGAAUCCCUAGUAACCAGAUGUUAUCAGCUUCUGGUGAAUAUGUCCCUGCCCCUUGCACAC